UAGGGAAUUUUGCGCAAUGGGGGCAACCCUGACGCAGCGACGCCGCGUGAGUGAAGAAGGCCUUCGGGUUGUAAAGCUCUGUCAGGAGGGAUGAAUAAUGGGUGUCAAACAGGCACACCAGAUGACAGUACCUCCAGAGGAAGCACCGGCUAACUCUGUGCCAGCAGCCGCGGUAAUACAGAGGGUGCAAGCGUUAUUCGGAAUUACUGGGCGUAAAGCGCAUGUAGGUGGGCUAUCAAGUCAGGUGUGAAAUCCCGGAGCUCAACUUCGGAAUUGCACUUGAAACUGGUAGUCUUGAGUCUGGAAGGGGUAAGCGGAAUUCCUGGUGUAGAGGUGAAAUUCGUAGAUAUCAGGAGGAACACCGGAGGCGAAGGCGGCUUACUGGUCCAGCACUGACACUCAGAUGCGAAAGCGUGGGGAGCAAACA
RNAcentral lists this ribosomal RNA (427 nucleotides) under uncultured bacterium. RNAcentral's name for it is "bacterial SSU rRNA". It matches the Rfam family "Bacterial small subunit ribosomal RNA", at positions 355 to 774 of the family's 1533-position model. The record is from RNAcentral.